CUGGGCCCCGCGGCGCGCAGACGCGUGAACCCGACACUGCGGCAUCUGAGGGGUGCAUGUUCUGAUGCUGCAGCCUAGGGGGAUGCAGAAGCCCGGAGAAGGGGCCUCAGCUUCCCCGCGGGGAGCCCUUCUGACCCUAGCCAGCUGGAGGCCCAGGAACGGACCUGAGCUGGAGGAGACGUUGUGGGCCCUUCGGACUGAGAAUCGAUUCGUCGCUGCAAAAGAUUCCCAAAAAGAAAGCAGAGGUUGAGGGCCAUGCUGAUACUGCAAGAUGAGCAGAAAGGCAGAGCUGUCCCCUCCAUCUCAAGUAGGAGCUUCUUGUUAGCCACACUUCCCUGCGAACCCAGUGACCGGCUCAUCAGACCUGACUAUCCAGCCACUUCGCACAUACAAGGAUUGCUUUGGCUGCUGCAUGGAGAGAAGGCUGAAGGGGAGCCGAGCAGGUAGGAAGCCACGUCCCAAUCCAGGUAAGAGCCGCGGGUGGAGCAGGGCACGGCCCCUGGAGGCUGUGAGGAAUGGCUGGACCCUGGGUGUCUUCUGAAGGGUGUGCUGCAGGAUUCGCUGGAGAGUCUGAGGUGGGGAGUGGGAGGAGAGGAGUUGGAGAUGGCUCCAAAGCUGCUGGCCUGAACCCCUGGAGCUGCCGUUUCCUGGGAUGGGGAAGGCGGGGAGGAAGCAUGUUCUGUUGGAGAGGAGGGAGCCCACGCUACGCAGGGAUGUCUGGGAGACGUCCAGGUGGAGAUGUUGAGAAUUGGCCUUGGCCGUGCCGGUGUGGAGCUCAGGGGAGAGGUCUGUCCUGUAGCUGUCCGAGUUGCCAGUGCAUAGGUGGUAUUUAAAGCUGUGAACUAUGAGAAGCAGAAGGCUGGGGCUGGCCAACUUUUGGAGGCUGGAGAGCUGAGGAGAGAACAGGAAGGGAUAUUUUUGGUGAAUG
This 928-nucleotide long non-coding RNA is filed under the name Equus caballus (horse). RNAcentral describes it as "lncRNA (ENSECAG00000051303.1)". The record is from RNAcentral. Lineage: Eukaryota; Metazoa; Chordata; Mammalia; Perissodactyla; Equidae.